UUGCCCUUGCCAGCUGGCUCCAUCCCUGCUGGCCAGCCUUCCAGUGACACCAUGGAGGGCUGGGUACUGGUUACAGGGGGAAGUGCAGCACACAUAAGUCACAGGCCCAGCACCUCCCCCUCGAGGGAAGUAUGAUAUCUGCCAACGUUCCUUGAUCUGGGCACCAAGUGCAUUGUGGUGUCCCCUCUUCCUUCUCCCCUUUCCCAGUCUACUGCCUGGGACACUGACGCUGCUCUAGUUUGUGGGGAGCUUCCUGCCCAUUCCGUCUGCCUAGUUGUAGAUGGUGCCAUGCUAGAGACUGCCAAGCUCAAUAAGGUGACAGCCAGGGCCGAGCAGCUGGGGUCAGGGCUUUCCGGGGCACCCUCCCUGAAUCAAGGUAAACAUUCCUGGAGCAGCCCGGGGCUCUAGAUCAAUCAGUGUCCAAGCUGAUGCUAAAGCUGCAGGGGCCAAGCCCAUCGUGGCACCUGAGCCCAAGGUCAUAGAGGGGCCCCCACACCUGCCAAAUCAGUCCCUGUUCCUGGUGAGGUGGUUCCACACCCCAGCAGCUCAGCCACUGAAGACCCCAAUCCCACUUCUGACCCCUCCCCUUUCACCUCCCCUGCUGUUGCCACCCUGAAACUGUCAUCUUCCCUUUUGUUGGGGGGCGACCCUUGGACUGUGGUAUUUGUAUUCCCCUACCUCAUUUCACUAGGGGCUGCUGUACUCCCUCUGCCACUCAUUUCUGUGUCGGGGCCAAGAAGGAUCCUGUGGUGUGGGUGAUGUUGUGCUGGGUUCUGCUACCAUUGAGAGAGGGCACAAAUGCACCAUCCGAAGGUUACAGGGCCACUUAUGGGGUCCAGCUGGAGGACAAGUGGGAGUCCGUUGGCACAACUGAAUCCAUGGAGCUCUCAGCCCUUGCCAUGCUGCUGUUUGAGCUGAACUGGUUUCUGGAAGACACACAUGGCUCCAGGGGAAAGGUGAAGCUCACUCUCCAGCAGUGAAGAGACAUUAAUCUUGUCCUCCAGGCCACAAGGGCCUUGAUGGGGUAAGGAAAAGAAACAAGCCUAACAGCAGGCUCAGAGCUACUGAGAUUCCCUGUUUACCUUCGAGAUCAACUAUGAGUUGAUGUGUGGCUCUGUGGGGCAGGUUGCACCCUGACCAUGAAGAUCCUCUGUCACAGUCACAGUAAAAAUUGCCUCCCCCAUGGAGUCCCCUGGUUGUAAAACAGUUGCAAAUUGGAAGGAGAUAAGUCACAUUUUGCCAUCAUCCAAAUUCUUGUGAAUACAUACAAUCUCUGAUGCCACAUUCAAAGCUUUGUAAAGCAAAAGUUAGUGGUUUCACACAGCUCCAGUGAAAGUGAAGAAAAAAGUGUAAGGCUCCUGGUGGAAGAGAAAGAAACUUGCUUCCUACUCCUAUCCGCCACCCCAUCUGGGAGAUGAGGGGUCAAGGAAUAUGUCUCUUGCCAAGGUCUAGUCAAUUUCUGCCAUAAAGGAGGAAUUAUGUAUAUUACAGCAUACAUAAUAACUUGUGGGAAUUCCUGUCAGAGGAGGAGCCAUCAUAGCAAUCAGAGGCACAUCCCAUAGCCUGGGAAAGAAAUUUCAUCUCUCACAUGCUUUUCACUUCAAUUUCAUCAAUACAUUUGACAUCAGGAAAUGAAGUUUAGUGAACCUCAGUAUUCAUCCUCUGAAAAGCCACUCCCCAUGUCAAAGCAAUAACUCAAAUGGAGACAAUUUCAAAAGGUUCCUCACCAGAAUUGCAAUUGUUCUUGAAAGGUGAAAAAUCCUAAUCUACUUUACUAAAGUG
Molecule: long non-coding RNA, 1782 nt
Organism: Mauremys reevesii (Reeves's turtle)
Lineage: Eukaryota; Metazoa; Chordata; Testudines; Geoemydidae
Exons: 3
Source: RefSeq, a predicted model, not a curated record